AGAGUUUGAUCCUGGCUCAGGAUGAACGCUGGCGGUAUGCUUAACACAUGCAAGUCGAACGAUGAAAUUUCGCUAAACCUUCGGGAGAAGUGAAACGGAUUAGUGGCGAACGGGUGAGUAACGCGUGGGUAACCUGCCCUAUGGAGAGGGAUAGCCUCGGGAAACCGGGAGUAAAACCUCAUAGUCAAAGAAAGCGCAUGCUAUUUUUGAGAAAACUCAGGUGCCAUAGGAUGGACCCGCGUCCCAUUAGCUAGUUGGAGAGAUAACAGCUCCCCAAGGCGACGAUGGGUAACCGGUCUGAGAGGGCGAACGGUCACACUGGAACUGAGACACGGUCCAGACUCCUACGGGAGGCAGCAGUGGGGAAUAUUGCGCAAUGGAGGGAACUCUGACGCAGCAAUACCGCGUGAGUGAAGAAGGUUUUCGGAUUGUAAAACUCUGUUAUUGGGGAAGAAAGAAAUGACGGUACCCGAUGAGGAAGUCCCGGCUAACUAUGUGCCAGCAGCCGCGGUAAUACAUAGGGGACAAGCGUUAUCCGGAUUGACUGGGCGUAAAGGGCGCGUAGGUGGCCUUAUAAGUCAGGUGUGAAAGGUAUCGGCUCAACCGAUAAAUUGCACUUGAAACUGUGAGGCUUGAGUAUUGGAGAGGCAAGUGGAAUUCCUAGUGUAGCGGUGAAAUGCGUAGAUAUUAGGAGGAACACCGGUGGCGAAGGCGGCUUGCUGGACAAAUACUGACACUGAGGCGCGAAAGCGUGGGUAGCGAACAGGAUUAGAUACCCUGGUAGUCCACGCCGUAAACGAUGAAUGCUAGGUAUUGGGGGAACUCAGUGCCGACGUUAACACAAUAAGCAUUCCGCCUGGGGAGUACGUGCGCAAGCAUGAAACUCAAAGGAAUUGACGGGGACCCGCACAAGCAGCGGAGCAUGUGGUUUAAUUCGAAGCAACGCGAAGAACCUUACCAGGUCUUGACAUCCUUUGCACGUUUUAGAGAUAGAACAUUCCCUUCGGGGACAAAGAGACAGGUGGUGCAUGGUUGUCGUCAGCUCGUGUCGUGAGAUGUUGGGUUAAGUCCCGCAACGAGCGCAACCCCUGUUGCUAGUUACCAUCAUUCAGUUGGGGACUCUAGCGAGACAGCCGUAGACAAUACGGAGGAAGGUGGGGACGACGUCAAAUCAUCAUGCCCCUUAUGAUCUGGGCUACACACGUGCUACAAUGGUCUGUAACAGAGGGAAGCGAAGCCGCGAGGUGAAGCGAACCCCAGAAAACAGAUCUCAGUUCGGAUUGCAGGCUGCAACUCGCCUGCAUGAAGUUGGAGUUGCUAGUAAUCGCGAAUCAGCAUGUCGCGGUGAAUGCGUUCCCGGGUCUUGUACACACCGCCCGUCACACCACGAAAGUUGGCAACACCCGAAGUCAGUGAGGUAACCGCAAGGGACCAGCUGCCGAAGGUGGGGCGAAUGAUUGGGGUGAAGUCGUAACAAGGUAACC
RNAcentral lists this ribosomal RNA (1484 nucleotides) under uncultured bacterium. Its description in RNAcentral is "bacterial SSU rRNA". It matches the Rfam family "Bacterial small subunit ribosomal RNA". The record is from RNAcentral.